Molecule: ribosomal RNA, 407 nt
Filed under: uncultured bacterium
Lineage: Bacteria
Description: partial 16S ribosomal RNA
Rfam family: Bacterial small subunit ribosomal RNA
Source: RNAcentral
GACGAACGCUGGCGGCGCGCUUAACACAUGCAAGUCGAGCGAAGCGGCGGACGGGUUAGUAACACGUGAGGAACCUGCCUUAGACAUUGGGAUAGCCACGGGAAACCGGGAUUAAUACCAAAUGGUCUAAGAUGGACUCGCGUCCCAUUAGCUCGUUGGUGAGGUAACGGCCCACCAAGGCGACGAUGGGUAGCCUGCCAGAGAGGGUGAACGGCCACAUUGGAACUGAGAAACGGUCCAAACUCUACGGUAGGCAGCAGUGGGUAAUAUUGCACAAUGGAGGGAACUCUGAUGCAGCUCCGCCGCGUGAACGAAGAAGGCUUUCGAGUCGUAAAGUACUUUUAUAUGGGAAGCGGUACCAUAAGAAAAAGCCCCGGCUAACUACGUGCCAGCAGCCGCGGUAAUUC